CUAUGCCCUAGGGCUAGUGGAAGACUUAAGAUGGCGGCGUUUGCACGGAGUGCAAUCACUGCGUCCUUACGGGGGUUGCAAGGCGUCCGAAGUAUGAGUCCAGUAACAAAAGGCCAGAAACUCGCCAGUUAAUAGUAUUGUGUCUCUUCAAAAUAUCGGAGAAUAAUUUCUUUCUCGCUGAUCGCCUAACUUCUACUGACGAAGCUAGGAAGUUGCAGAAGAUGGAGUUCGCUCUUGUUGCCCAGGCUGGAAUGCAAUGGCAUGACCUUGGCUCACUGCAACCUCUGCCUCCCCAGUUCAAGUGAUUCUCCUGCCUCAGCCUCCCGAGUAGCUGGGAUUAUAGAAAUACAAAAAAAAUUCUAAAACUUGUAUGGAACUACAAAAGACAUUAAAUAAUCAAAGUAAUCUUGAGCAACAAGGACACAGCUGGAGGCAUCACUCUACCUGAUUUUGUAAUCCAUUAUCAAAAAACUGUGGUACCAGCAUAAAAGCAGAUUCACUGACCAGUGGAACAGGAAAGCCCAGACAUAACUCAUACAUUUCCAUCCAAUUGAUUUUUGACAAAAGUGGCACACAGAAUGGGGAGAGGAUAAAUAAAUAAAUUGUUUUGAGAUAUCUGUA
This 621-nucleotide long non-coding RNA is filed under the name Pan troglodytes (chimpanzee). Its description in RNAcentral is "lincRNA". The stretch from base 9 to 143 matches the Rfam family "JPX transcript, XIST activator conserved region 1". Lineage: Eukaryota; Metazoa; Chordata; Mammalia; Primates; Hominidae. The record is from RNAcentral.